GCCCAGCCAGAGCCCAGACUUGAAUCCAAUUGAACAUCUCUGGAAAGACCUAAAAAUGGCUGUCCACCGACACUGCCCAUCCAACCUGACUUACCUUGAGAGGAUCUACAGAGAAGAAUGAGAGAAAAUGCCCCAAAACAGGUCUGGAACUCACACCCGAUAAAUGGGGGUUCACUGUAUACAGUAAUUUGAUGAAAAGUCAUGGUAUGGAGGAAGAGUGACUCACACGUCGUGUCUCUCGCCCAUCUGUCUCCAUCCCCGCUAGUCAUCACCCAGUGAGUCUGAUGAGCCGAGGCUUUCUGACAGACGGCCUCGAUGGCGCAAGCCGCCCAUGACACUAACUCACGCUGACGAAGAGGCCAUCUCGUCUACUUGAGCGUGAAAAACAAAACAAAACAAAAACAAGACAGGAAAUCAUAACUCUUUACAUCCUGUUUUUUUUAUUUUUAGACUACAAAAGUUAUUAGAAUAGGCAAUUUCCUGUGUACACCAAAGAUAUGUCUUGUUUUUGUCCACCUGGCAUCAGCAUCCUCACAUUCUACUAUAGUAUGUGACUGAGUGUGUAUGGCUUUAAAAGGUGCGGCCUGUCCUGGUGAGUGAUAUGGGCGCUAGGCCUCUCACGAUAAAUCUUUUAGGACGAUAUAUUUUCCCCAAAAAAU
This is a long non-coding RNA of Phyllopteryx taeniolatus (common seadragon), 659 nucleotides long. RefSeq lists it as uncharacterized. The transcript has 3 exons. The record is from RefSeq and is a predicted model, not a curated record. NCBI's taxonomy places the organism in Eukaryota, Metazoa, Chordata, Actinopteri, Syngnathiformes, Syngnathidae.